AUGCACGCUGGCGGCGUGCUUAACCCCUGCCAGUCGAACGGAAAGGCCCAAGCUUGCUUGGGUACUCGAGUGGCGAACGGGUGAGUAACACGUGGGUGAUCUGCCCUGCACUUCGGGAUAAGCCUGGGAAACUGGGUCUAAUACCGGAUAGGACCACGUCUUGGAUGUUGUGGUGGAAAGUUUUUUCGGUGUGGGAUGAGCUCGCGGCCUAUCAGCUUGUUGGUGGGGUAAUGGCCUACCAAGGCGUCGACGGGUAGCCGGCCUGAGAGGGUGUACGGCCACAUUGGGACUGAGAUACGGCCCAGACUCCUACGGGAGGCAGCAGUGGGGAAUAUUGCACAAUGGGCGCAAGCCUGAUGCAGCGACGCCGCGUGGGGGAUGACGGCCUUCGGGUUGUAAACUCCUUUCGCUAGGGACGAAGCGUUUUUGUGACGGUACCUGGAGAAGAAGCACCGGCUAACUACGUG
Molecule: ribosomal RNA, 467 nt
Filed under: uncultured bacterium
Lineage: Bacteria
Description: partial 16S ribosomal RNA
Rfam family: Bacterial small subunit ribosomal RNA
Source: RNAcentral